This is a long non-coding RNA of Amphimedon queenslandica, 723 nucleotides long. RefSeq lists it as uncharacterized. The transcript is spliced from 6 exons. The record is from RefSeq and is a predicted model, not a curated record. NCBI's taxonomy places the organism in Eukaryota, Metazoa, Porifera, Demospongiae, Haplosclerida, Niphatidae.
UGUUAUGUAAUCAUUAAUAUCUGUAAACUACGCAUGCACAGAUAUACAGGAACAGGACUCUUAACACAUUCCUUCAACAAAGAUAUGAGUUGUCUUAUCCUAAUUCAAUAAGAACUUAAGAAAAGCCAAAAAAUCAAAAAAUGGUGUGACUGAUGAAGUGUCCUAUUCUGAAAAUAUCCGUAACGUUCUAAAAAUAGAGUCCAAGGUAGAAGGAGGUUGUCCUGUGCUCUUAGACAAGGAGCAGGCAUUAGUUAGAAAGGGCAUUCUUUGUAUUUGGAGAUAGGAUGAUAAGCUGCUCACUUUCUCCAGGAAGACAAGAAGGAGGCAGAACUUUUGCUUCCUGUUUUCAAAGCAUUUCCUAGUGACACAGAGAGUAGAGAAGAAAGGAAAAGAGGGAUACCGUCUGUUGAAAGAGAACGGGUUACUCUCACUCGCUAAAUGUAGGAUACAUGAACAUGCACUCCAUGAGUAUCCAGAGUUACGUUUUCUCAGUUUUGGUCUUGAGAUUGAUGAUGGUUCACAGAGUCAGUCCAAGCAGAAGUUGAUAUUUAUUGCAAUGUCAGCGGCAGAGAAGGCACAGUGGAUAGCUGAUAUUGCUCAGUGUAUUGAAAAUGAGAAACAGAAUAAAAUACUUCAAAGCCAGAGUCAAGGGGAACCUGUUGAGCUCAAUUCAAAGUUUAUGCGAUACAGCACAUUUAGAAGCGGAAAAGAGCAACUGGUAAG